Molecule: ribosomal RNA, 513 nt
Filed under: uncultured Acidobacteriota bacterium
Lineage: Bacteria; Pseudomonadati; Acidobacteriota
Description: bacterial SSU rRNA
Rfam family: Bacterial small subunit ribosomal RNA
Source: RNAcentral
UCGGGAAUUUUGCGCAAUGGACGAAAGUCUGACGCAGCAACGCCGCGUGAGGGAUGAAGGCCUUCGGGUUGUAAACCUCUUUUCUCAGGGACGAUGAUGACGGUACCUGAGGAAUAAGUCACGGCUAACUACGUGCCAGCAGCCGCGGUAAUACGUAGGUGGCUAGCGUUGUCCGGAUUUACUGGGCGUAAAGAGCGCGCAGGCGGUCGUUCAAGUCGAGUGUGAAAGCCCCCGGCUCAACUGGGGAGGGUCACUCGAUACUGAUCGACUUGAAGGCGGGAGAGGGAAGCGGAAUUCCCGGUGUAGUGGUGAAAUGCGUAGAUAUCGGGAGGAACACCAGUGGCGAAGGCGGCUUUCUGGCCCGUUCUUGACGCUGAGGCGCGAAAGCUAGGGUAGCAAACGGGAUUAGGAUACCCCGGUAGUCCCUAGCCGUAAACGAUGGACACUAGGUGUUGGCGGUAUCAACCCCGCAGUGCCGAAGCUAACGCAUUAAGUGUCCCGCUGGGGAUACGG